RNAcentral lists this microRNA precursor (73 nucleotides) under Haemonchus placei. Its description in RNAcentral is "mir-5890 microRNA precursor family". It matches the Rfam family "mir-5890 microRNA precursor family". Lineage: Eukaryota; Metazoa; Nematoda; Chromadorea; Rhabditida; Trichostrongylidae. The record is from Rfam by way of RNAcentral.
UUAAUGGCAUAUUACUGAAUUGUGGGAGGACAUAUGUGAUUCUACCCCUUUUCAUUUUUAUGCUGCUUUGGAG